AGGGGCGGCGACGGCGGCAGCGGCUGGCUUGUCAGCUCAAGUUCAUCCCCGUUUGGGCUGAGCUCAAGGACCUAUUCCAAACUGGGGCAUGACUCAAAUUGCUAUCAGUGACUUGUGAAAGAAUUAUGUCUAGAGAGUUAUCUGCCAGGCCGAGGAACUACCUUGGUUUCUCAUCAGAUGCUGCAAGCUGCAAUAUAGAGUAGGUGAGGGCAGAGGGAGGCUUCUCCCGUCGUCAUGGCUCGGCGGGAAGCUCAGCAGUAUAUGCUGCAGGUGAGGAGGAAUCAAUGGGGGCUCUCGAGCUUCGUCUUUGUUUCCAGGGAUAGGGUUGCUGUAGCUUGAGUCUGGUGAUGAUGGGACUUCAAAUCCAACGACCUGCACCCCUUCCUGCACCCAUAUUAUGUAUGUUAACCACCCAUCAUCAUAAAUACAAACAUGAUAGAGACAACAGUUUAGGAAAGAAAGAAAGCGGUCAAUAUACUUACAUGGUCAUCCCUGCCUUGUCGGUGCUCCAUAUUGCUGCAA
This is a long non-coding RNA of Triticum dicoccoides, 522 nucleotides long. RefSeq lists it as uncharacterized. The record is from RefSeq and is a predicted model, not a curated record. The transcript is spliced from 2 exons. NCBI's taxonomy places the organism in Eukaryota, Viridiplantae, Streptophyta, Magnoliopsida, Poales, Poaceae.